CAGGCCUAACACAUGCAAGUCGAACGGUGGCAGCAAUGUCAUAGUGGCGCACGGGUGCGUAACACGUAACUAACCUACCCAUCAUUGGGGGAUAGCCCGCCGAAAGGCGGAUUAAUACCGCAUAAGACAAUAGAAGGGCAUCCUUUAGUUGUUAAAGAUUUAUUGAUGAUGGAUGGGGUUGCGGGUCAUUAGCUAGUUGGUAAGGUAACGGCUUACCAAGGCGACGAUGACUAGGGGGGCUGAGAGGCUGGUCCCCCACACGGGCACUGAGAUACGGGCCCGACUCCUACGGGAGGCAGCAGUAGGGAAUAUUGGGCAAUGGGCGAGAGCCUGACCCAGCCAUGCCGCGUGCCGGAUGAAGGCGCUCAGCGUUGUAAACGGCUUUUGACUGGGAAGAACGGCAGGUUUGCGAACUUGUGUGACGGUACCAGCAGAAUAAGCACCGGCUAACUCCGUGCCAGCAGCCGCGGUAAU
This 474-nucleotide ribosomal RNA is filed under the name uncultured bacterium. RNAcentral's name for it is "bacterial SSU rRNA". It matches the Rfam family "Bacterial small subunit ribosomal RNA", at positions 43 to 524 of the family's 1533-position model. The record is from RNAcentral.